UGAUUAUAUGCUAUAUACCCUUCUACGUAUGAGUUUUAAAGCGGUGAUUCCGGGGACGGAAUCCUUAUAAGGGAGGGUGAAUGUAAUAACCCGAGAUUUCCUAAAUAAAAUAAAUAAGAAAUUUGCGUAUAAUUUUUUUUUUAUUUAUUUAAUGACGAGAAUAAGUGUCUAGUAAUGUGAACGAUAAAUGCGAAUAUAUUUAUUACUUGAAAAAUUAGAAAUAAUUUUGGAAUUAUUAAUUACUACAAAUUAUAUUUUUAUGGUAAUUAAUUUCUGUAAGCAG
This 283-nucleotide long non-coding RNA is filed under the name Panax ginseng (ginseng). RNAcentral describes it as "long non-coding RNA (PGIN_LNC009267)". The record is from RNAcentral. Lineage: Eukaryota; Viridiplantae; Streptophyta; Magnoliopsida; Apiales; Araliaceae.